CCAUUUUCAUAAACAAAAUG
This 20-nucleotide small nuclear RNA is filed under the name Arabidopsis thaliana (thale cress). RNAcentral describes it as "snRNA_14322". Lineage: Eukaryota; Viridiplantae; Streptophyta; Magnoliopsida; Brassicales; Brassicaceae. The record is from RNAcentral.